GAUAGCUCAGUCGGUAGAGCAUCAGA
RNAcentral lists this non-coding RNA (26 nucleotides) under Xenopus tropicalis (tropical clawed frog). RNAcentral also lists the same sequence under 4 other names. The record is from RNAcentral. Lineage: Eukaryota; Metazoa; Chordata; Amphibia; Anura; Pipidae.